RNAcentral lists this long non-coding RNA (386 nucleotides) under Malus domestica (apple). RNAcentral's name for it is "long non-coding RNA (MDOM_LNC018053)". Lineage: Eukaryota; Viridiplantae; Streptophyta; Magnoliopsida; Rosales; Rosaceae. The record is from RNAcentral.
UGAAUAAUAUAAGCACUAUCACCUAAGGUGCAGGUUAUGAGCUUUCAAUGCCAUUCACAUAAAUAAAUCGUCUGAAUAAUAUAAAAACUCACAUGUGCGUCCACAUCACCAUUUCACAUAUAUGCAUCAUAUACCAAAUCAUAUAAUUCAUAUAAUUUCUAUGUAUGGCAUUUCAAAACUCAUUUCAUAACGCAUUUCAUUUAACUCGAUUUCUGGGAAAAUCAAUAGUAUAUAGAUAUAUAUAUAGAAAACAAAUGCCCACUCACCUGGGGUCCGCGCUACGACUCCCUAACAUCAAAACCAAGGCGUCCCGAACGCUCGGCUCCUAAAACAGUUAUCAAACCACGUCUCAGAACUCUUAUCCAUAGAAUAUGAAAUUCACAUAA